GGGUGAGUAACACGUAUCCACCUGCCGUCUACUCUUGGACAGCCUUCUGAAAGGAAGAUUAAUACAAGAUGGCUCCGCAUGUUUAAAGGUAUUCGGUAGACGAUGGGGAUGCGUUCCAUUAGAUAGUAGGCGGGGUAACGGCCCACCUAGUCUUCGAUGGAUAGGGGUUCUGAGAGGAAGGUCCCCCACAUUGGAACUGAGACACGAUCCAACCUUUACGGGAGGCAGCAGUGAGGAAUAUUGGUCAAUGGGCGAGAGCCUGAACCAGCCAAGUAGCGUGAAGGAUGACUGCCUAUGGGUUGUAAACUUCUUUUAUAAAGGAAUAAGUCGGGUAUGGAUACCCGUUUGCAUGUACUUUAUGAAUAAGGAUCGGCUAACUCCGUGCCAGCAGCCGCGGUAAUACGGAGGAUCCGAGCGUUAUCCGGAUUUAUUGGGUUUAAAGGGAGCGUAGAUGGAUGUUUAAGUCAGUUGUGAAAGUUUGCGGCUCAACCGUAAAAUUGCAGUUGAUACUGGAUAUC
Molecule: ribosomal RNA, 518 nt
Filed under: uncultured bacterium
Lineage: Bacteria
Description: bacterial SSU rRNA
Rfam family: Bacterial small subunit ribosomal RNA
Source: RNAcentral